Molecule: long non-coding RNA, 565 nt
Filed under: Musa acuminata (dwarf banana)
Lineage: Eukaryota; Viridiplantae; Streptophyta; Magnoliopsida; Zingiberales; Musaceae
Description: long non-coding RNA (MACU_LNC009117)
Source: RNAcentral
UCUGCAUUUACAACCGAAACUAAUACUGAUGAAACUACUCGUAUACUAGUUGGGGCAAUAAGAGAGUCUCCUAUAAGAAGAGAGAAGAGCCAAGCAACUACGGUGUUGGUUUAGUGGAAAGAUCACCUGUUUUCAUGGUACUUAAGUUAUUAUGCAAGUGUGAAGUCCAUUCUCCAACUCUCUUCUUUAUAAAUCAACUACUAGCUUGCCCACUUGCCCACCCCUACCCUAGCCUAGACUUUCGCCAACUCCUUGAUACAACACCGAGAUACAACUUCAUCUUGAUACUACAGCUUGAGACUACAGCUUGAUACUCUAGCUUCCUACAGGAACUACCCUGCCCUACCCUAAGUAUUAGAAUGAAUCGUUUCAUCCCUUGCUUCACCCUCUGCCUAUGCAAGUGCUUAGUCUGCCUCUGUAAGGGGCGGGAAGGAAAUCAAGCCUUAAAAGGGCGAGUUGAGGCAAUCAUCUAUUUGCUAUCAAAAAACCCGGAAACGGAGCUCCUGCCGCUAGUGCCACUUAACUAUCUGCGAGUCAAUUGGCUGACUUGGAGUUGAUGAUCUAC